GUGGGGAAUCUUCCACAAUGGACGAAAGUCUGAUGGAGCAACGCCGCGUGAGUGAAGAAGGGUUUCGGCUCGUAAAGCUCUGUUGUCGGGGACGAAUGUGCAGUAUUUGAAUAAAGUACUGCAAUGACGGUACCUGACGAGGAAGCCACGGCUAACUACGUGCCAGCAGCCGCGGUAAUACGUAGGUGGCAAGCGUUGUCCGGAAUUAUUGGGCGUAAAGGGAGCGCAGGCGGGAAGGUAAGUCGGUCUUAAAAGUGCGGGGCUCAACCCCGUGAUGGGAUCGAAACUAUCUUUCUUGAGUGCAGGAGAGGAAAGUGGAAUUCCUAGUGUAGCGGUGAAAUGCGUAGAUAUUAGGAGAAACACCAGUGGCGAAGGCGACUUUCUGGACUGUAACUGACGCUGAGGCUCGAAAGCCAGGGGAGCGAACGGGAUUAGAUACCCCGGUAGUCC
Molecule: ribosomal RNA, 450 nt
Filed under: uncultured bacterium
Lineage: Bacteria
Description: partial 16S ribosomal RNA
Rfam family: Bacterial small subunit ribosomal RNA
Source: RNAcentral